UGAGGAAUAUUGGUCAAUGGGCGAGAGCCUGAACCAGCCAAGUAGCGUGCAGGAUGACGGCCCUAUGGGUUGUAAACUGCUUUUAUAUGGGAAUAAAGUGAGGGACGUGUCCCUUAUUGCAUGUACCAUACGAAUAAGGACCGGCUAAUUCCGUGCCAGCAGCCGCGGUAAUACGGAAGGUCCAGGCGUUAUCCGGAUUUAUUGGGUUUAAAGGGAGCGUAGGCUGUUUGUUAAGCGUGUUGUGAAAUGUAAGAGCUCAACUUUUAGAUUGCAGCGCGAACUGGCAGACUUGAGUGCGCACAACGUAGGCGGAAUUCAUGGUGUAGCGGUGAAAUGCUUAGAUAUCAUGACGAACUCCGAUUGCGAAGGCAGCUUACGGGGGCGCAACUGACGCUAAAGCUCGAAGGUGCGGGUAUCGAACAGG
Molecule: ribosomal RNA, 424 nt
Filed under: Verrucomicrobiota bacterium
Lineage: Bacteria; Pseudomonadati; Verrucomicrobiota
Description: Verrucomicrobia bacterium partial 16S ribosomal RNA
Rfam family: Bacterial small subunit ribosomal RNA
Source: RNAcentral